GAUGAACGCUAGCGGCAGGCCUAACACAUGCAAGUCGAGGGGUAACUAGAGUGAUAGCAAUAUUACUUUGGCUAGACCGGCGCACGGGUGCAUAACACGUAUGCAACCUACCUUAUACUGGGGAAUAACUUCGAGAAAUCGGCGCUAAUACCCCAUAACACUGCGGAGAGGCAUCUCUUUGCAGUUAAAGCUCCGGCGGUAUAAGAUGGGCAUGCGUCCAAUUAGCUAGUUGGUGAGGUAACGGCUCACCAAGGCUACGAUUGGUAGGGGUUCUGAGAGGAUGAUCCCCCACACUGGUACUGAGACACGGACCAGACCCCUACGGGAGGCAGCAGUGAGGAAUAUUGCGCAAUGGACGAAAGUCUGACGCAGCCAUGCCGCGUGCAGGAUGACGGCCCUAUGGGUUGUAAACUGCUUUUGUACGGGAAUAAACCCUUCUACGUGUAGGAGGCUGAAGGUACCGUAAGAAUAAGCACCGGCUAACUCCGUGCCAGCCGCCGCGGUAA
This 506-nucleotide ribosomal RNA is filed under the name uncultured bacterium. RNAcentral's name for it is "partial 16S ribosomal RNA". It matches the Rfam family "Bacterial small subunit ribosomal RNA", at positions 28 to 523 of the family's 1533-position model. The record is from RNAcentral.